CCUACGGGGGGCAGCAGUGAGGAAUAUUGGUCAAUGGACGAGAGUCUGAACCAGCCAAGUAGCGUGAAGGAUGACUGCCCUAUGGGUUGUAAACUUCUUUUAUAAAGGAAUAAAACGAGGCACGUGUGCCUUUUUGCAUGUACUUUAUGAAUAAGGAUCGGCUAACUCCGUGCCAGCAGCCGCGGUAAUACGGAGGAUCCGAGCGUUAUCCGGAUUUAUUGGGUUUAAAGGGAGCGUUGAGUGGUUGUUAAGUCAGUUGUGAAAGUUUGCGGCUCAACCGUAAAAUUGCAAUUGAUACUGGCAGUCGUGAGUACAGUUGAGGUAGGCGGAAUUCGUGGUGUAGCGGUGAAAUGCUUAGAGAUCACGAAGAACCCCGAUUGCGAAGGCAGCUUACUAAACUGUGACUGACAUUGAUGCUCGAAAGUGUGGGUAUCAAACAGGAUUAGAUACCCGGGUAGUC
RNAcentral lists this ribosomal RNA (460 nucleotides) under uncultured bacterium. Its description in RNAcentral is "partial 16S ribosomal RNA". It matches the Rfam family "Bacterial small subunit ribosomal RNA", at positions 338 to 795 of the family's 1533-position model. The record is from RNAcentral.